RNAcentral lists this ribosomal RNA (253 nucleotides) under uncultured bacterium. RNAcentral's name for it is "partial 16S ribosomal RNA". It matches the Rfam family "Bacterial small subunit ribosomal RNA", at positions 524 to 776 of the family's 1533-position model. The record is from RNAcentral.
UACAGAGGUCUCAAGCGUUGUUCGGAAUUACUGGGCGUAAAGCGUGUGUAGGCGGCUCUGCAAGUCGGAUGUGAAAGCCCCGGGCUCAACCCGGGAAGUGCACUCGAUACUGCAGAGCUAGAGUGUGGGAGAGGUUGGUGGAAUUCUCGGUGUAGAGGUGAAAUUCGUAGAUAUCGAGAGGAACACCGGCGGCGAAGGCGGCCAACUGGACCACUACUGACGCUGAGACACGAAAGCGUGGGGAGCAAACAGG